GCCUACGGCCAUGCCCCCCUGAACACGUCCGAUUUCAUCUGAUCUCGGAAGCUAAGCAGGGUCGGGCCUGGUUAGUACUUGGAUGGGAGACCACCUAGGAAGACCAGGUGCUGUAGGCA
Molecule: ribosomal RNA, 119 nt
Filed under: Pteropus alecto (black flying fox)
Lineage: Eukaryota; Metazoa; Chordata; Mammalia; Chiroptera; Pteropodidae
Source: RNAcentral